CCUACGGGUGGCAGCAGUGAGGAAUAUUGGUCAAUGGGCGAGAGCCUGAACCAGCCAAGUAGCGUGAAGGAUGACUGCCCUACGGGUUGUAAACUUCUUUUGUAAAGGAAUAAAGUGCGGCACGUGUGCCUUUUUGUAUGUACUUUAUGAAUAAGGAUCGGCUAACUCCGUGCCAGCAGCCGCGGUAAUACGGAGGAUCCGAGCGUUAUCCGGAUUUAUUGGGUUUAAAGGGCGCGUAGAUGGGUUGUUAAGUCAGUUGUGAAAGUUUGCGGCUCAACCGUAAAAUUGCAAUUGAUACUGGCAGUCUUGAGUACAGGUGAGGUAGGCGGAAUGCGUGGUGUAGCGGUGAAAUGCAUAGAUAUCACGAAGAACUCCGAUUGCGAAGGCAGCGUACUAAACUGCCACUGACAUUGAUGCUCGAAAGUGUGGGUAUCAAACAGGAUUAGAUACCCGGGUAGUC
RNAcentral lists this ribosomal RNA (460 nucleotides) under uncultured bacterium. RNAcentral's name for it is "partial 16S ribosomal RNA". It matches the Rfam family "Bacterial small subunit ribosomal RNA", at positions 338 to 795 of the family's 1533-position model. The record is from RNAcentral.